RNAcentral lists this ribosomal RNA (225 nucleotides) under uncultured Eubacteriales bacterium. Its description in RNAcentral is "uncultured Clostridiales bacterium partial 16S ribosomal RNA". It matches the Rfam family "Bacterial small subunit ribosomal RNA", at positions 109 to 334 of the family's 1533-position model. Lineage: Bacteria; Bacillati; Bacillota; Clostridia; Eubacteriales. The record is from RNAcentral.
AGUAACGCGUGAGUAACCUGCCUUACACAAGGGGAUAGCCUUUGGAAACGAAGAAUAAUACCCUAUAAAACCAUAAAAGCACAUGCUAGAAUGGUCAAAGUGCUAGCGGUGUAAGAUGGACUUGCGUCUGAUUAGCUAGUUGGUGAGAUAAAAGCUCACCAAGGCAACGAUCAGUAGCCGGCUUGAGAGAGUGUACGGCCACAUUGGGACUGAGACACGGCCCAG